Molecule: ribosomal RNA, 489 nt
Filed under: uncultured bacterium
Lineage: Bacteria
Description: bacterial SSU rRNA
Rfam family: Bacterial small subunit ribosomal RNA
Source: RNAcentral
CUCAGGAUGAACGCUAGCGGCAGGCCUAAUACAUGCAAGCCGGACGGCAAGUUGAGUAGCAAUACUGGCGGCGACCGGCGCACGGGUGCGUAACACGUAUGCAACCUACCUUCAACUGGAGGAUAGCCCGGGGAAACUCGGAUUAAUACUCCAUAACACAGGGGAUCCCGCAUGGGAAUAUUGUUAAAGCUACGGCGGUUGAAGAUGGGCAUGCGUUCGAUUAGCUAGUUGGUGUAGGUAACGGCUCACCAAGGCUACGAUCGAUAGGGGGUCUGAGAGGAUGAUCCCCCACACUGAUACUGAGAUACGGACCAGACUCCUACGGGAGGCAGCAGUAGGGAAUAUUGGUCAAUGGGCGCAAGCCUGAACCAGCCAUGCCGCGUGCAGGAAGAAGGCCCUCUGGGUUGUAAACUGCUUUUGAUAGGGAACAAAUGCCACUUGCGAGUGGAGCUGAGUGUACCUAUAGAAUAAGCACCGGCUAACUCCGUG